Long non-coding RNA from Choloepus didactylus (southern two-toed sloth), 421 nucleotides. RefSeq lists it as uncharacterized. The transcript is spliced from 3 exons. The record is from RefSeq and is a predicted model, not a curated record. NCBI's taxonomy places the organism in Eukaryota, Metazoa, Chordata, Mammalia, Pilosa, Megalonychidae.
UCUAGAGUUGAAAUUAGUUUCAAAAGAGUUUAGUCUUGUUUCGUUUUACUUUCAUUAUUAUAUCUGCCAAGAGUGGAAGCUUAAAAAAAAAAGACAACAGAAUGAAUUCAAUUGCUACAAAAGACUGAUUCAUAAAGGAAGGACAUCAGCAUCCCUUAGAUAUGUUUAUUGACCUACCCAAUCUGGACUCCACAGAUGAGCUCUCAUUAAGCUUUUUCAGAGACUUCUGCUUCCAUUGAAGACUUGAUCUCUCAAGUGACUGUACUUCCCUUCAAGUCCCCGAAAUGGAGCCUGCUCUGUCUCCUGCACCUCUCCAACCAGGGAUGGUGGAACCAUUCUGUUUUUCUCAGCUGUACCUCACCUUCCUUGGAAACUGAUUGUAGUUGCUGGAUACAGAUUCAUGGUUUGUUGUCUUACUCUG